AACCUUUGCUGUCUUGGGACGGAUCACCGCUGCAAGAGGGGAAGUUGCUACUGUGAUGAAUUCUGCCAUGUGGCACCAGACUGCCACCCAGACCACAGUGUCCUCUGCAACCCUGCUUCUCAGAUGACCAAGAUGGUGCUGCAGAUGGUGCUGAGGAUGGAGAACCCACCAAGCCCCGCUAGGAGCCACCUAGACUGGAUGCAGAGCAUGGUGAAAAUGGAGGUUUCCUCCUCCUGUGGCUGAGUGUGGCUUCCCCGGAAGACCUCACUGACCCCAGAGUGGCAGAAAGGCUGAUGCAGCAGCUCCACCGGGAACUCCACGCCCACGCGCCUCACUUCCAGGUCUCCUUACUGCGUGUCAGGAGAGGCUAACGGACAUCAGCUGCAGCCAGGCAUGUCCCGUAUGCCAAAAGAGGGUGCUGCCCCUAGCCUGGGCCCCCACCGACAGACUGCAGCUGCGUUACUGUGCUGAGAGGUACCCAGAAGGUUCCCAUGAAGGGCAGCAUGUCCAAGCCCCUAACCCCAGAUGUGGCAACAGGACCCUCGCUCACAUCCACCGGAGUGUAUGUAUGGGGAGGGGCUUCACCUGUUCCCAGAGGUGUCCUUGGACUCACCUUGGCACAUGUUCUGUGUUUCAGUAAAGAGAGACCUGAUCACCCAUCUGUGUGCUUCCAUCCUGCAUUAAAAUUCACUCAGUGUGGCCCA
This 704-nucleotide unclassified non-coding RNA is filed under the name Homo sapiens (human). RNAcentral describes it as "MUC20 overlapping transcript (ENSG00000281915.2)". The record is from RNAcentral. Lineage: Eukaryota; Metazoa; Chordata; Mammalia; Primates; Hominidae.